Molecule: ribosomal RNA, 499 nt
Filed under: uncultured archaeon
Lineage: Archaea
Description: bacterial SSU rRNA
Rfam family: Archaeal small subunit ribosomal RNA
Source: RNAcentral
GAAUAAGCGGGGGGCAAGCCUGGUGUCAGCCGCCGCGGUAAUACCAGCUCCGCGAGUGGUCGGGACGAUUAUUGGGCCUAAAGCGUCCGUAGCCGGCCUAUCAAGUCUCUGGUUAAACCUCAAGGCUCAACCUUGAGAUCGCUGGAGAUACUGUUAGGCUAGGGGGCGGGAGAGGUUGAGGGUACUUCGCGGGUAGGGGCGAAAUCCUAUAAUCCGCGAAGGACCACCAGUGGCGAAGGCGCUCAACUGGAACGCGCCCGACGGUGAGGGACGAAAGCCAGGGGAGCAAAGGGGAUUAGAUACCCCCGUAGUCCUGGCUGUAAACGAUGCGGGCUAGGUGUUGGGUUGGCUUCGUGCCAACCCGGUGCCGCAGUGAAGACGAUAAGCCCGCCGCCUGGGAAGUACGGCUGCAAGGCUGAAACUUAAAGGAAUUGGCGGGGGAGCACCACAAGGGGUGAAGCCUGCGGUUUAAUUGGAGUCAACGCCGGGAAUCUUACCG